Molecule: ribosomal RNA, 253 nt
Filed under: uncultured bacterium
Lineage: Bacteria
Description: partial 16S ribosomal RNA
Rfam family: Bacterial small subunit ribosomal RNA
Source: RNAcentral
UACGAAGGGGGCUAGCGUUGCUCGGAAUUACUGGGCGUAAAGCGCACGUAGGCGGUCUUUUAAGUCGGGGGUGAAAUCCUGGAGCUCAACUCCAGAACUGCCUUCGAUACUGGAAGACUUGAGUCCGGGAGAGGUGAGUGGAACUGCGAGUGUAGAGGUGAAAUUCGUAGAUAUUCGCAAGAACACCAGUGGCGAAGGCGGCUCACUGGCUCAUAUCUGACGCUCAGGCGCGACAGCGUGGGGAUCAAACAGG